RNA transcript from Spinacia oleracea (spinach), 1047 nucleotides. It is a transcript of the gene named protein DETOXIFICATION 45, chloroplastic-like, with no coding region annotated. The transcript is spliced from 3 exons. NCBI's taxonomy places the organism in Eukaryota, Viridiplantae, Streptophyta, Magnoliopsida, Caryophyllales, Amaranthaceae. The record is from RefSeq and is a predicted model, not a curated record.
UUCAUCCACAAACUCUGCACUUAGAUUUUGGGAUAUGGGUUGAGGUUGAUUCUUUUUGGUUAUGCUACUGCUCUUUAAGUAUAGGCAUCGGUAUGCUUCUCUUAUUUCUUCUUUAAGAUUUACAUAAUUUUUAGUGUUGAUUGAAGUUGGAUUUGCUGAUUGUUAGAGGUUUUAGUAAUCUUGUAUGAUAUAGUAAUUUAUGGCAGAUAUGAACUAUUUAAGUUUUGUUAACCAUCAUUUUGCCUUUAAUCUCUUUGAAGAAGUUAAAAUAAAAUAAGACUUAAAGUUUUAGUUAGGGAACGAUUAGAGCUGAGAAAUACCAUGUUUAUCAAGUAAUACUGUCAUUUGAUGGGAAUUAGGAUGUUCACUUCAUAUUAUUAGAAGAAUUGAAUCCAUCUUUACUAAAAUUCUUCUUUCAUUGAGAUGUUAAUGUCUCAGGAUUGAAUAUAGCUUUGCAAUUUCACUACAAUAGUAUAGAUUUGUGAUAAUUUGGGUUUCAUUGUUCAACACCAGCAAAGCAAAUGGAGAGGCGUCGAGAUUAGGUUUCAGAAAUUGAUGGUGUUUUUAAUGAUUAAAUAAGACAGCUGGUGUUGGAAAUGCUGCUGGAGUUGGAACUCAUUCCUGUACUGAAUGUGUUUCUGAAUGUGCUGCUAAAUGUGGAUUUCUGAUUGGAAGAACUGUGGCUGUUUUGAUAACUAUGACGAUUGGGACCUCAAUGGCUGCUCGUCAAGGUCCUCUAGCUAUGGCUGCUCAUCAAAUCUGUAUGCAAGUGUGGUUGGCUGUCUCUCUUUUAACUGAUGGAUUGGCCGCAUCUGGUCAGGUCUACACUCCGAGGAUUGCGCCUUAUGCGAGGAAUUUGAUGUGGUUCGUGAGCAAUGGGCUAAGUUUUUUACCAACAAGUAUUAUUAUUGGCUUUAGCGCGCUUGAUCGAGUUGGUUUAGUUGUUAUAGAAUAAAUUUUAUAUUAAAAUGUAUGUUUAUGUUGAAAUUGGAACAUAUAUUUAAAUGUAAUAUGUGCACUUUGGUUUUGGGAUAUAUAGUAUACAAA